GAUGAACGCUGGCGGCGUGCCUAAUACAUGCAAGUCGAGCGAACGGACGAGAAGCUUGCUUCUCUGAUGUUAGCGGCGGACGGGUGAGUAACACGUGGAUAACCUACCUAUAAGACUGGGAUAACUUCGGGAAACCGGAGCUAAUACCGGAGGAUAUUUUGAACCGCAUGGUUCAAAAGUGAAAGACGGUCUUGCUGUCACUUAUAGAUGGAUCCGCGCUGCAUUAGCUAGUUGGUAAGGUAACGGCUUACCAAGGCAACGAUGCAUAGCCGACCUGAGAGGGUGAUAGGCCACACUGGAAGUGAGACACGGUCCAGACUCCUACGGGAGGCAGCAGUAGGGAAUCUUCCGCAAUGGGCGAAAGCCUGACGGAGCAACGCCGCGUGAGUGAUGAAGGUCUUCGGAUCGUAAAACUCUGUUAUUAGGGAAGAACAUAUGUGUAAGUAACUGUGCACAUCUUGACGGUACCUAAUCAGAAAGCCACGGCUAACUACGUG
This 497-nucleotide ribosomal RNA is filed under the name uncultured bacterium. RNAcentral's name for it is "partial 16S ribosomal RNA". It matches the Rfam family "Bacterial small subunit ribosomal RNA", at positions 28 to 507 of the family's 1533-position model. The record is from RNAcentral.